CCUACGGGCGGCAGCAGUGAGGAAUAUUGGUCAAUGGACGAGAGUCUGAACCAGCCAAGUAGCGUGAAGGAUGACUGCCCUAUGGGUUGUAAACUUCUUUUAUAUAGGAAUAAAACGAGGCACGUGUGCCUUUUUGCAUGUACCUUAUGAAUAAGGAUCGGCUAACUCCGUGCCAGCAGCCGCGGUAAUACGGAGGAUCCGAGCGUUAUCCGGAUUUAUUGGGUUUAAAGGGAGCGUAGAUGGGUUGUUAAGUCAGUUGUGAAAGUUUGCGGCUCAACCGUAAAAUUGCAGUUGAUACUGGGAGUCUUGAGUACAGUUGAGGUAGGCGGAAUUCGUGGUGUAGCGGUGAAAUGCUUAGAUAUCACGAAGAACCCCGAUUGCGAAGGCAGCUUACUAGACUGUGACUGACAUUGAUGCUCGAAAGUGUGGGUAUCAAACAGGAUUAGAUACCCCUGUAGUC
RNAcentral lists this ribosomal RNA (460 nucleotides) under uncultured bacterium. RNAcentral describes it as "partial 16S ribosomal RNA". It matches the Rfam family "Bacterial small subunit ribosomal RNA", at positions 338 to 795 of the family's 1533-position model. The record is from RNAcentral.